RNAcentral lists this long non-coding RNA (787 nucleotides) under Nicotiana benthamiana. RNAcentral's name for it is "long non-coding RNA (NBEN_LNC020195)". The record is from RNAcentral. Lineage: Eukaryota; Viridiplantae; Streptophyta; Magnoliopsida; Solanales; Solanaceae.
CAUCAACAAAAUCGAUUUUGUUUUUGGCUGAUAAGGCAACAAUCAUUUUACGUCUCCAGCACCCAUAACCACUACCCGAGAAGGGAGUGGGAACGAGAGCUACCCCAGGGACAUCAGAAGAAUAUACAAAAAGGGGACUGGAAGAGUCUACAGAAGGGGAGGCGGACAGAGUUACCCUCCUUCUUCGCGACCGGAGAAGAUCAGCCUUCAAACAACAGAGAAACCCUAGGUAUAAAGCCCUAGGUGUAACCUUGGAAAUCGUUACUGAAAAUGUGGUCAGGAACGUCGGAGAGGCACCCAAACGUCCACUGAGUGAAAUCGAGCCACCGGAAAGCAGUAGAACCCUAUGUUAAACCACCAGAAACCCUAAAAGUCGAUAGGUCACCGAGAAACCACCCAAAAUCAGCUGAAAACCACUCAGAAUGUUUGGGUGAAGAAAAUAUACUUAAAUAUCAUGAGAAAAAACUCGGAAAAGCAUCCGAUCUAGGUCAAAGCCAUCAUCGACCAUAAGGUCUCAGAAAAAGCCCUAAAAAUCUCAAAGAGAGUUCAACCAAGACAACGAGAUGUAGAGAAACAUAACCGGAUCGUCGUAUAGGCUCUGAUACCAUGUAAACAUUGAUAUUAGACCGAGAAAUCAUAGAAAACAUAAAGAGAUAAAGUAGAGAGAAGUCAGAGCAUUUCGGAACUCUCUGGAAGAUCAGAGAUGUUAUUACAGAGAAAAGAAAGAAAAUGAAUACUCGGUAGGUGAGAAAAAUAUCUCACCUACAUAUAUACAUGUUACACACGG